AGCAAAUUAUUAGGAAACUUGCAGGAGAAAGCCAACAUAUUCCAGAGAGACUGUUUACUUUCUCAAUCUAAACACAGAGAAAGCAAAUGGGAAGAGAACAAGGGCUCCAACAGACAAAAUAAAAGAAAUUAAGGAACACGAUGAAGAGUUUAUCCCAAAUAAGAAGAAGAAAAACACUGAGGAUACAAGAGAGAAGAAACAGGAGCUAAGUCCCAAGGAAAAGAAGAUACCAAGUCACAAAACUCCUCCUUUGAGAAAACACUCUACUACCAACAUCCUUUCAUUGGUAGUAGUAGUAGAUAUUAGCAUUUCAUCCCAUGGAGGAUUGUGUUGAGAUAAUCAAGAAGCAGGCUUCCUGUGUCCAGAUCCUCCUUCUUCAGAAAAACCAAGGGAGAAUGACCAGGAUAUUUCACCCCCUGGAAUAUCUGAAGGGGUUAUGCCCUUGAGUGGUGUGGAGAAAAUGAAAAGAAAAAGUGAACCAAGAACUGAACAAUGCCAUCACAGAGCAAGUCUCAUUGCAGGACAAAAAUGUAAAAAGGAACAGAGGAAAGAAAAAUAUGAGAAUGCUAAGAAGAGCUCAGUGCACGAUACAAGAUAAGCUAAUGUAAAACACACUUAUUGCGAAGUACAAUGAAUGAACAAUUUUAAUUAGACGUAGUUCAUUAUAUCCGUUAAGUUCACAGCAAUAUUCUAAAACUUAAGGAAAUGAAAAUCAC
Long non-coding RNA from Saccostrea echinata, 716 nucleotides. RefSeq lists it as uncharacterized. The transcript is spliced from 3 exons. NCBI's taxonomy places the organism in Eukaryota, Metazoa, Mollusca, Bivalvia, Ostreida, Ostreidae. The record is from RefSeq and is a predicted model, not a curated record.